Molecule: ribosomal RNA, 255 nt
Filed under: uncultured bacterium
Lineage: Bacteria
Description: partial 16S ribosomal RNA
Rfam family: Bacterial small subunit ribosomal RNA
Source: RNAcentral
UACGUAGGGGGCUAGCGUUGUCCGGAUUUAUUGGGCGUAAAGAGCUCGUAGGCGGUUUGUCACGUCGGAUGUGAAAACCCGAGGCUUAACCUCGGGCCUGCAUUCGAUACGGGCUGACUAGAGUUCGGUAGGGGAGACUGGAAUUCCUGGUGUAGCGGUGAAAUGACGCAGAGAGUCAGGAAGAACAUCGGUGGCGAAGGCGGCGACCUGGACAGUAACUGACGCUGAGACGCGAAAGCGUGGGUAGCAAACAGG